GGGGAAUAUUGCGCAAUGGGGGAAACCCUGACGCAGCGUCGCCGUGUGAGGGAAGAAGGCUUUCGGGUCGUAAACCUCUGUCGGGAAGGAAGAACCCCCCAGGUCCGAAUAGGGCCUGGGGCUGACGGUACUUCCAAAGGAAGCACCGGCUAACUCCGUGCCAGCAGCCGCGGUAAUACGGAGGGUGCAAGCGUUAAUCGGAAUCACUGGGCGUAAAGCGCGCGUAGGCGGCUUUUUAAGUGGGACGUGAAAGCCCUCGGCUCAACCGGGGAAUUGCGUUCGAAACUGGGAGGCUUGAGGGAUGUAGGGGAGAACGGAAUUCCUGGUGGAGCGGUGGAAUGCGCAGAUAUCAGGAGGAACACCAGUGGCGAAGGCGGUUCUCUGGACAUUUCCUGACGCUGAGAAGCGAAAGCGUGGGGAGCAAACA
RNAcentral lists this ribosomal RNA (427 nucleotides) under uncultured bacterium. Its description in RNAcentral is "bacterial SSU rRNA". It matches the Rfam family "Bacterial small subunit ribosomal RNA", at positions 356 to 774 of the family's 1533-position model. The record is from RNAcentral.